CCCUUAGAUGUUCUGGGCCGCACGCGCGCUACAAUGAUGAAUUCAACGAGUUUAUAAUCUUGGUUGAAAAGCCUGGGUAAUCUUUUGAACUUUCGUCGUGAUGGGGCUAGACCCUUGCAAUUAUUGGUCUCCAACGAGGAAUUCCUAGUAAACGCAAGUCAUCAGCUUGCAUUGAUUACGUCCCUGCCCUUUGUACACACCGCCCGUCGCACCUACCGAUUGAAUGGUCCGGUGAAAUCUUCGGAUUGAGACUUUGAUUUCUUCACGGAAAACGCUGUUUUAAAAAGUUGAUUAAACCUUACCAUUUAGAGGAAGGUGAAGUCGUAACA
This 329-nucleotide ribosomal RNA is filed under the name uncultured eukaryote. RNAcentral's name for it is "partial 18S ribosomal RNA". It matches the Rfam family "Eukaryotic small subunit ribosomal RNA", at positions 1470 to 1796 of the family's 1831-position model. The record is from RNAcentral.